Molecule: microRNA precursor, 87 nt
Filed under: Jatropha curcas
Lineage: Eukaryota; Viridiplantae; Streptophyta; Magnoliopsida; Malpighiales; Euphorbiaceae
Description: mir-160 microRNA precursor family
Rfam family: mir-160 microRNA precursor family
About the family: The hairpin precursors (represented here) are predicted based on base pairing and cross-species conservation -- their extents are not known. In this case the mature sequence is excised from the 5' arm of the hairpin.
Source: Rfam by way of RNAcentral
AUCUGCCUGGCUCCCUGGAUGCCAACUAAGAAACUUUGUCAAUGGAAAUUGACACUUUCUAGUUGGCAUCAGAGGAGUCAAGCAGGU